UACAUAGGUCUCAAGCGUUGUUCGGAUUCAUUGGGCGUAAAGGGUGCGUAGGCGGCGCGGUAAGUCGGGUGUGAAAUCUCGGAGCUUAACUUCGAAACUGCAUUCGAUACUGCCGUGCUUGAGGACUGGAGAGGAGACUGGAAUUUACGGUGUAGCGGUGAAAUGCGUAGAUAUCGUAAGGAAGACCAGUGGCGAAGGCGGGUCUCUGGACAGUUCCUGACGCUGAGGCACGAAGGUCAGGGGAGCAAACGGG
RNAcentral lists this ribosomal RNA (253 nucleotides) under uncultured bacterium. Its description in RNAcentral is "partial 16S ribosomal RNA". It matches the Rfam family "Bacterial small subunit ribosomal RNA", at positions 524 to 776 of the family's 1533-position model. The record is from RNAcentral.